GGUGCAUGGCCGUUCUUAGUUAGUGUAGUAAUUUGUCUGGUUAAUUUC
This 48-nucleotide ribosomal RNA is filed under the name Heterosigma akashiwo. RNAcentral's name for it is "partial Eukaryotic small subunit ribosomal RNA". The record is from RNAcentral. Lineage: Eukaryota; Raphidophyceae; Chattonellales; Chattonellaceae.